RNAcentral lists this ribosomal RNA (404 nucleotides) under Verrucomicrobiota bacterium. RNAcentral describes it as "Verrucomicrobia bacterium partial 16S ribosomal RNA". It matches the Rfam family "Bacterial small subunit ribosomal RNA", at positions 355 to 776 of the family's 1533-position model. Lineage: Bacteria; Pseudomonadati; Verrucomicrobiota. The record is from RNAcentral.
UGGGGAAUAUUGCACAAUGGAGGGAACUCUGAUGCAGCGACGCCGCGUGAGUGAAGAAGUAUUUCGGUAUGUAAAGCUCUAUCAGUAGGGAAGAUAAUGACGGUACCUACAUAAGAAGCCCCGGCUAAAUACGUGCCAGCAGCCGCGGUAAUACGUAGGUGGCAAGCGUUGUCCGGAAUUAUUGGGCGUAAAGCGCGCGCAGGUGGUUUAGAAAGUCUGAUGUGAAAGCCCACGGCUCAACCGUGGAGGGUCAUUGGAAACUAAUAAACUUGAGUGCAGGAGAGAAAAGUGGAAUUCCUAGUGUAGCGGUGAAAUGCGUAGAGAUUAGGAGGAACACCGGUGGCGAAAGCGGCUUUUUGGCCUGCAACUGACACUGAGGCGCGAAAGCGUGGGGAGCAAACAGG